Long non-coding RNA from Microplitis demolitor, 347 nucleotides. RefSeq lists it as uncharacterized. The record is from RefSeq and is a predicted model, not a curated record. NCBI's taxonomy places the organism in Eukaryota, Metazoa, Arthropoda, Insecta, Hymenoptera, Braconidae. The transcript is spliced from 3 exons.
CCUCAACACAUCAUUCAUCGUAUAUAUUACCGGCAAAUUAGUUGCUAACUGCAGCUAAAAAGUUAAAUCAACUGGUUAAUAACCUACUCAGCUCUUUUGUUUGUGACUCUUGCGCAGAGGAUAACAAUCAAAGACGGUUGUCUAAACGCUUGGUGCCAUGGAAUAGCCGGAUAUAAAUGCUGCUCAGGGUUCGCAUGCUCCUCAUACUUCUCUCAAGGAAAAUGUCUUUACAAUGGACCGGAAUGUUAUCCCGGAUAAUUAAACUACUAAAGUACAUUGCGAGUUAACAAUUUUUUUAAAAUUUCAAAUUUUUUUCGAGAUUAAAAUUUAAAAAAUAUUCUAUUCAA